GACGAACCGUGCGAACGUUGUUCGGAAUCACUGGGCUUAAAGGGCGCGCAGGCGGCUUGUCAAGUCAGGGGUGAAAUCCUGCAGCUCAACUGUAGAAGUGCCUUUGAUACUGGCGAGCUCGAGGGAGGUAGGGGUGGGUGGAACUUCCGGUGGAGCGGUGAAAUGCGUUGAUAUCGGAAGGAACGCCGGUGGCGAAAGCGACCCACUGGAUCUCUACUGACGCUGAGGCGCGAAAGCCAGGGGAGCAAACGGG
RNAcentral lists this ribosomal RNA (253 nucleotides) under uncultured bacterium. Its description in RNAcentral is "partial 16S ribosomal RNA". It matches the Rfam family "Bacterial small subunit ribosomal RNA", at positions 524 to 776 of the family's 1533-position model. The record is from RNAcentral.